Molecule: ribosomal RNA, 497 nt
Filed under: uncultured bacterium
Lineage: Bacteria
Description: partial 16S ribosomal RNA
Rfam family: Bacterial small subunit ribosomal RNA
Source: RNAcentral
GAUGAACGCUGGCGGCGUGCCUAAUACAUGCAAGUCGAACGAACGGACAGUGAGCUUUUUCUCCUAAGGUUAGCGACUGGCGGAUGAGUAACGCAUACAUAGCCUACUUCUAUUUCGUGGAUGACUUCGUGAGGCAAGAUCUGCUACCACAGCAUAUGUUCAACCGCAUAGUUCAGUAGUUAAUCACACUUUUCCUGUCUCUUAUAGAUGAUGUCGCGCCGGAUUAGCUAGUUGGUAAGGUAACGGCAUACCAAGGCAACGAUGCGUAGCUGAUCUGAGAGGAUGAUCAGCCACACUGGAACUGAGACACGGUCCAGACUCCUACGGGAGGCAGCAGUAGGGAAUAUUGGGCAAUGGGCGCAAGCCUGAUCGAGCCACGCCGCGUGAGUGAAGAAGGUCUUCGGAUUGUAAAGCCCUGUUAUUGGGAAAGAAAAGCUGUAUAAGAAAACACGGCUGUCCUGACGGUACCUAAAGAGAAAGCAACGGCUAACUUCGUG